Molecule: long non-coding RNA, 426 nt
Filed under: Gossypium barbadense (sea-island cotton)
Lineage: Eukaryota; Viridiplantae; Streptophyta; Magnoliopsida; Malvales; Malvaceae
Description: long non-coding RNA (GBAR_LNC020700)
Source: RNAcentral
AUUCUUAGAAAGGAGGAGCAUAGAGCUGGAGAACCUUCUGCCAGGACGGUCUGCUGCUAAUAUCAUCCCACCAAGCACUCACAUGCUUCCUGCUGGUUAUCAUGUAUUCCCUUCCCAUUUGACCCACCAAGUACUGAGUAAAUGGCAGGUGGCUCAGAUCAGCAAGGCUGAAGAAAUCACCGGCCAAGUACUUGUUCUUUGACAGCCUCUCCUCAUAAAUAUCCAGAACUUUGCCUAGCUUUUCCUCGCUUUCCUUGAUCAAAUUUUCAUCAGGAGGGAACCCCAUCUUGGAAGCAAACAUCAAAUGUAGGGUCAAGGCGUAAAUUGGUGGGUUGAAAUUGUGUGCCUCAACCUCUAGCCAAUUUUCCACUUGACCCCUUUCCUCUACUGUCUUUCCCAGUAGAUCAGUCCCUUGUGAUUUGUAUU